Molecule: microRNA precursor, 86 nt
Filed under: Canis lupus dingo (dingo)
Lineage: Eukaryota; Metazoa; Chordata; Mammalia; Carnivora; Canidae
Description: mir-8799 microRNA precursor family
Rfam family: mir-8799 microRNA precursor family
Source: Rfam by way of RNAcentral
CGGGGGAGGCCGGAUCCUGGGCUGUGUCCCGGCCCCUGUGCUCUGGGGCCUGCGCUGUUGGAUUCGCUCCUGCCCUGCAGCCCCCG